AGGGAUAUAGUUAAUUAUAACAUUUGAUUUGCAUUCAAAAAGUAUUGUCUUUACAAUUUUCCUUA
Molecule: transfer RNA, 65 nt
Filed under: Protohermes tonkinensis
Lineage: Eukaryota; Metazoa; Arthropoda; Insecta; Megaloptera; Corydalidae
Description: tRNA-Ala
Rfam family: tRNA
About the family: Transfer RNA (tRNA) molecules are approximately 80 nucleotides in length. Their secondary structure includes four short double-helical elements and three loops (D, anti-codon, and T loops).
Source: RNAcentral